This 547-nucleotide ribosomal RNA is filed under the name Cortinarius vanduzerensis. Its description in RNAcentral is "eukaryotic LSU rRNA". It matches the Rfam family "Eukaryotic large subunit ribosomal RNA", at positions 1 to 547 of the family's 3401-position model. The record is from RNAcentral. Lineage: Eukaryota; Fungi; Basidiomycota; Agaricomycetes; Agaricales; Cortinariaceae.
GUGACCUCAAAUCAGGUAGGACUACCCGCUGAACUUAAGCAUAUCAAUAAGCGGAGGAAAAGAAACUAACAAGGAUUCCCCUAGUAACUGCGAGUGAAGCGGGAAAAGCUCAAAUUUAAAAUCUGUCAGUCUUUGGCUGUCCGAGUUGUAAUCUAGAGAAGCGUCGUCCGUGCUGGACCGUGUACAAGUCUCCUGGAAUGGAGCGUCAUAGAGGGUGAGAAUCCCGUCUUUGACACGGACUGCCAGGGCUUUGUGAUGCGCUCUCAAAGAGUCGAGUUGUUUGGGAAUGCAGCUCAAAAUGGGUGGUAAAUUCCAUCUAAAGCUAAAUAUUGGCGAGAGACCGAUAGCGAACAAGUACCGUGAGGGAAAGAUGAAAAGAACUUUGGAAAGAGAGUUAAACAGUACGUGAAAUUGCUGAAAGGGAAACGCUUGAAGUCAGUCAUGUUGUCCAGGGAUCAACCUUGCUUUUGCUUGGUGUACUUUCUGGUUGACGGGUCAGCAUCAAUUUUGACUAUUGGAAAAAGAUUGAGGGAAUGUGGCAUCUUUG